AGAAUCAACGCUGGCGGCGUGCCUAACACAUGCAAGUCGAACGAGAAAGUGGAGCAAUCCAUGAGUAAAGUGGCGCACGGGUGAGUAACACGUGACUAACCUACCCUGGAGUGGGGGAUAACUGAGGGAAACCUUAGCUAAUACCGCAUAAUACCUACGGGUCAAAGGAGCAAUUCGCUUCAGGAGGGGGUCGCGGCCGAUUAGUUAGUUGGCGGGGUAAUGGCCCACCAAGACAGUGAUCGGUA
RNAcentral lists this ribosomal RNA (245 nucleotides) under uncultured bacterium. Its description in RNAcentral is "partial small subunit ribosomal RNA". It matches the Rfam family "Bacterial small subunit ribosomal RNA", at positions 26 to 285 of the family's 1533-position model. The record is from RNAcentral.